Molecule: long non-coding RNA, 372 nt
Organism: Aethalodelphis obliquidens (Pacific white-sided dolphin)
Lineage: Eukaryota; Metazoa; Chordata; Mammalia; Artiodactyla; Delphinidae
Exons: 3
Source: RefSeq, a predicted model, not a curated record
UUUUAAAGUUUGUUUUGUUUUAUUUAUUUAUUAUUUAUUUAUUUAUUUUUGCUUUCUAGAAGAAGUGAUACAUUUCCUCACCGCCCUCCUGUUCUCUUUGUGAACAACAUGCGUUUUCCAAGAAGUUAAGUGAAACUAAGGAUCCAGUUGGUGGCCACUGAACAGAGAGAAGAACCCAUGGUAUACUGCUGACAAAAGAGGAAGGAGCCAUUUUAAUCACAGUCUCAGGACAUCUCAAUCUGAACCAGCCACCUUUCGAUGCUUAAUAACUCCAUGUGGCUAGUGCCUGCCGUACUGGACAAUGUAAGUCUAAAAUUUAUUCUCCUUUGUCAGCCUUAGGAAAACUAGGGUAAUUUAAAAAUACCCAUUUGG